AUACGUAGGGUCCAAGCAUUAUCCGGAUUGACUGGGUGUAAAGAGUUGCGUAGGUGGCAGGGUAAGUAGAUAGUGAAAUCUGGUGGCUCAACCAUUCAGACUAUUAUCUAAACUGCUAGGCUCGAGAAUGUUAGGGGUAGCUGGAAUUUCUGGUGUAGGAGUGAAAUCCGUAGAUAUUAGAAAGAACACCGAUAGCGUAGGCAGGCUACUGGGACAUUUCUGACACUAAGGCACGAAAGCGUGGGGAGCAAACGGGAUUAGAUACCCCGGUAGUCCACGCCGUAAACGAUGGAUACUAGCAGUUUCGGGUAUCGACCCCUGGAGUUGCGAAGCUAACGCGUUAAGUAUCCCACCUGUGUAGUACGAUCGCAAGAUUAAAACUUAAAGGAAUUGACGGGG
Molecule: ribosomal RNA, 399 nt
Filed under: uncultured bacterium
Lineage: Bacteria
Description: partial 16S ribosomal RNA
Rfam family: Bacterial small subunit ribosomal RNA
Source: RNAcentral